RNAcentral lists this ribosomal RNA (468 nucleotides) under uncultured bacterium. Its description in RNAcentral is "partial 16S ribosomal RNA". It matches the Rfam family "Bacterial small subunit ribosomal RNA", at positions 28 to 507 of the family's 1533-position model. The record is from RNAcentral.
GACGAACGCUGGCGGCGUGCUUAACACAUGCAAGUCGAACGGAAAGGCCCUGCUUUUGUGGGGUGCUCGAGUGGCGAACGGGUGAGUAACACGUGAGUAACCUGAUCUUGACUUUGGGAUAACUUAAGGAAACUGGGGCUAAUACAGGAUAGGAGCUCCUGCUGCAUGGUGGGGGUUGGAAAGUUUCGGCGGUUGGGGAUGGAUUCGCGGCUUAUCGGCUUGUUGGUGGGGUGGUGGCUAACCAAGGCAUUGACGGGUAGCCCGCCUGAGAGGGUGAGCGGCCACAUUGGGUCUGAGGUGCGGCCCAGGCGCCGACGGGAGGCAACAGGGGGGAAUCUUGCACAAUGGACGGAGGCCGGGUGAAGCAGCCCCGCGUGCGGUAUGACGGCCUUCUGGUUAAAAACCACUUUCGCCUGAAACGAAGCGUGUGUGACGGUAACGGGUAAAGAAGCACCGGCUAACUACGUG